UGAGAAUAUACUUGCAACAGCAGCUAUAAAAAAGCUGAAAACUACUCCCGGCCCGGCAAUAUUUUUCGCCACCAUACCGGCAACUAGAUACAUCCCAGUGCCACAGCAAGAUCCAAUACCAAGAGAUGUUAAAUCCAAAGUCGUUAAACAUUUCUAAAGUGAAUAGUAGUAAGUUCGUAUAUUCAAUGAAAAUAGUUGGACUUACCGUGAGCUUAGGUUUUGCACUUCGUGGAUCGUCUCCUUGAAGUGUUCUUAAGUCUUUCGUCCGGACAAGUUUUGAAAAAAGUGUUACUCCAGAUCCAACUCGAGGCAUAGGAAAGGGCAGCUUCAUGAUUUCUAGAAACAUGUAAUUUUCUUAUCAGUGUAAAAUUUACAAAAGUGUUAUCAAUUACCUGUUUAUUUUUCGACGAUUGUGAAUUAUAUAUUUGGUGCGAAACAAGCGUCCUGAGAGAGUUCCACUACGACUUAAUCAAUAAGAUCCUGCUACUCACUAAUUUCCUAUUGGAAUUGAGGAGUAAGAUGAAAAUAAUAGUUCAAAUAAAUCAACACUUGUUGAGCAUCAGGAAAUGUCGUCAAUGGUACAACAGGCCAGGUCCGACAAGUUGAGUAGUCUAAAUAUCAAUUAUAAUCACAUUGGAUAGACUUUUACGAGUGCAUAUGAGACACAAUCGAAAUUGAUGUAGAAUGCUAUAAUGUGAUGCGGACAAAUAGCAAAAUCUGGAGCUCGCCUUAUAAGUUUGAAUCCUUCACGUUAGGAUAGAGCAAAGCAACUCCCUAACCUCAUUGGAAUCUCAAAUUGACCCAUAUUGUCAAUAAUAAUUUUAUUGAAUUUUAUUAUGUUAAUAAAUGCGUCCAACUUUGGUAACUUCGAUUUUACAUUGACAUUGUAACUGUCUUCUUAAAGAAAGAAACAAUUAAAUAUGUUUCGAACAUUACCUACUAUUCCUAAUAUUUCAGUUCGCGUAUAGCCUGCCACUUCAAGCGAACUGGAAAG
Long non-coding RNA from Hermetia illucens (black soldier fly), 994 nucleotides. RefSeq lists it as uncharacterized. The transcript has 3 exons. Lineage: Eukaryota; Metazoa; Arthropoda; Insecta; Diptera; Stratiomyidae. The record is from RefSeq and is a predicted model, not a curated record.